CACAAGCUACCUCCAUAUAUGCAGCUCACAACAAUCUUUAACUCGAGAGAGAGAGAGAUGGAAGCCAUGCAAAUACUUCACAUGAACAACGGGGAAGGAGAGACAAGCUACGCAAAGAAUUCAACAGUUCAGAGGAAGAUAAUCGCAGUGGCGAAAUCAAUGGUGGAGGAAGCCGUAUUGGCCAUCUUGUCGGAAAACUUCCCGGAGAGCAUGGGCAUUGCCGACCUGGGCUGCUCGUCGGGCCCCAACACCCUCAUCGUCGCCUCCAAGAUCAUCGACAUUGUCCACUCCGCCGCCUGCCGGAAGGGCCUCUCCCCGCCGGAGCUCAGGGUCUCCCUGAACGACCUUCCGGGCAACGACUUCAACGACAUAUUCCAGCAGUUGCCGGAUUUCUACAAGAAGCUGAGGCAGGAGAAAGGCGGCGGAUUUGAACGGCGAUGCUUCAUCUCCGGGACGGCUGGAUCGUUCUACGGCCGGCUGUUCCCUAACAACAGCCUUCACUUCGUCCACUCCUCCUCCAGCCUCCAUUGGCUUUCUCAGGUUCCAGCAGCGCUGGAGAACAACAAAGAAGAACACCUAAACAAGGGAAAGAUUUAUAUAUCGAAGAGCAGCCCAGUGAGCGUUGUAGAAGCAUACGCGUCCCAGUUCAAGAAGGAUUUCAUGGACUUUCUCAAGUCUCGAUCCGAAGAAAUGGUUUCUAAUGGACGAAUGGUUUUGUCUUUCAUGGGCAGAAGAUCUGCAGAUCCAUCAAGUAAAGAGGGUUGCCAACAAUGGGAGCUCCUGGCUCAAGCUCUCAUGGCCAUGGCUUCCGAGGGACUGGUUGAAGAGGAGAAGAUAGACUCAUUCAACGCCCCUUACUAUGCGCCGAGCCCGGAAGAAGUGAGAAUGUUGGCCGAAACAGAAGCUUCUUUUUUGGUGGAUCGCUUGGAGGCCUUUGAAAUCGAGUGGGAUGGAGGAGGCGGCGGCGGCGGAGGCUACAACUGUGCCGGCGGCGAAAUGCCGUCGAAAGGCCACCUGGUGGCGAAGACCGUUCGAGCAGUGGUGGAGCCAAUGCUGGAAUCUCACUUCGGCAAGGAGAUGGAUAUGGACGACUUGUUCCGCCGGUACGCAGGACUGGUCGGCGAUUACCUGUCGGUGAACAGAAGCAAAUACGUGAAUUUGGCCGUCUCCUUUGUCAAAAAGCGUUGAUCGAUGUGGGGGUAUGGUGAUUUUGGGUGAAGAAGAAGAAAAAGAAGUGAUUCCAGUCCACAAGCUGGAUUGCAAAGCUACUAUUCUGAAAAAAGAAAAUCGACGCAAGAAACGAAGAAGACAAAUUCACCAAUUUGCAACAAAUGGAGACACUAACGGUGGUGAAGAGAGAUUAACGAAACGUGACUCAAGUGAAAGCCAAAAUCAUGAUAGGUCAAAGUCAAGAAGUAAGAAGAACUUAAAGUGCUAUUACUGUGACAAGAAGGGUCACCUGAAGAAGAAAUGUUGGAAUUUGAAUGAGAAAAAUUCUAUGGGAGUGGGCCUUGACACGACUUCAGUGGCGUAGUAACCUCAUCAUUAGAUGAAAAAGCCUAGAAUAUAAUGUCAUU
This is an RNA transcript of Diospyros lotus (date-plum), 1577 nucleotides long. It is a transcript of the gene named probable jasmonic acid carboxyl methyltransferase 2, with no coding region annotated. The transcript has 5 exons. NCBI's taxonomy places the organism in Eukaryota, Viridiplantae, Streptophyta, Magnoliopsida, Ericales, Ebenaceae. The record is from RefSeq and is a predicted model, not a curated record.